AUUGAACGCUGGCGGAAUGCUUUACACAUGCAAGUCGAGCGGCAGCGCGGGGCAACCUGGCGGCGAGCGGCGAACGGGUGAGUAACACAUCGGAACGUACCCAAUCGUGGGGGAUAACUAUCCGAAAGGAUAGCUAAUACCGCAUAAGUCCUGAGGGAGAAAGCGGGGGAUCGCAAGACCUCGCGCGGAUGGAGCGGCCGAUGUCGGAUUAGCUAGUUGGUGGGGUAAAGGCCCACCAAGGCGACGAUCCGUAGCUGGUCUGAGAGGACGACCAGCCACACUGGAACUGAGACACGGUCCAGACUCCUACGGGAGGCAGCAGUGGGGAAUUUUGGACAAAUGGGGGGCAACCCUGAUCCAGCCAUUCCGCGUGAGUGAAGAAGGCC
RNAcentral lists this ribosomal RNA (386 nucleotides) under uncultured bacterium. RNAcentral's name for it is "bacterial SSU rRNA". It matches the Rfam family "Bacterial small subunit ribosomal RNA", at positions 29 to 416 of the family's 1533-position model. The record is from RNAcentral.